AAACAAAAAAAUAUUUUUACUUAAAUUAAUUUGUUAUGCUUAUUCAAUUAAAACCCUACUGAAGCAUGAUAGAUUGAUACUCCCGCAAAAACCCACAAAAUUAAGCAGCUGUCCACGCACGCAGAGUCGCCGCUACACAUCUACACCACCGCUCUGUUGCACCGGCCGCCUUCCGACUGCUUCCCAACCUUCGGUGGGUGCCGGCUUCCAAAUUCUGAGGUCUACUAAGGCCUUGAUGUCAAGUCCGCAAAGUCCUCACCUAGUGAUAUAAAAGUGCCUUUGAUUUGGUUUUUUCAGAAGAAUUAGUUGUUGGUUGAAUUCAGAUACUGAAGUUCCUCUAGUUGUGGGAACAGUUAAGUGAAAUCACUCCACCACUAGAUCUUCAACUUUUAUUUCAACUGUAAGCUUUUCAAAAGUACAAUAUAUGCAAUGAGACAUGGUAAAAAGUGAGGUUUGCAUUGCUUUCAUCCCACAGCCUAGGUUUUACCAUUAAACACUCAGUGUGCAGUUUUCUAAGUAUACUUGUGGUUUCACUCAUUAUAGUGUUAAGAGAUAACAACUAACUAUCAUUAAAGUUAACACAAAACAUAUCACAAGUUCUACUUCGCAUCCUUGAGGCUCAAAUUUCAGCUCCUAUAUUGUGAUGCUAUUGAAGUGUAUACCAGCCAUAUCUCGAACUUCCAUGUUACAGAUAACCACUUGAUUCCAUUCACCCACAUACAUCACAUGAGUAUUACAUGCCACGUGGAAUUAUUUUAAAAUUUAUUAGCGAAGAAAUAAAGGGGAAAAUUCUUGCAAGGGGUCCUUAUGUUAUCUAUAUAGCUAAAAUGAUCGUGGUUGUUGUUAAAGACAAAAUACUUUUAAUUGCUGAUGGGAUGCUAAGAGUUGAGUUUUUGUGUUUUUUCUGUUGCAUAUGUUUGCUUUCAUUGAAUGAUUUAAGGUGUUGCAACCUGUAAUUGAUGAUAUUGGAGGAUGGAGAUUUUUUUUCUUCAUGUUUUAUUACCACUUAUUCUAUUGUGGCUCUGGAAAAUGGGUGAGAUUUUGCUGGUUUUGGUGACUUUGUUAGUAACACGUGUACUCUUGUUGUUUUACUUUAGGUACAUGAUUUUGGAUUCUUCUGAUAUGACGUACAAUAGAUCCGAUUUUUGAGCUACGAAAAGAUACCUCUUACCCCCGAGGCAAAAUUUGUUGGGCUUGAAAUCAGGGUUUCGGCAAUGAUAGCGGAGAAAAGUUAGCUCUCACUGUUUCCCGCUUUUGUAAUAGCAAUGGCGAGCAAUUUCCUGAAUGGGAUAUUCUUCUAAGAGUUGGCUGCCAGUUCAACUUAAUACUGACCCAAUGCUAGCUGCUCAAGAACCCUUGGCAAGUUGGCAUGCUUGGUGAACACGAAGCAACUAAUACACGAGAGCUCGCCCCUUCUCCUGUGAGUGAGCAAACUAGCAGCCGGUGGAAGGGCCCGCUAACUACUCCAUACAAGCUGAACACAGACGCUGCUACAUCGGUGAGAAUGACAGGGUUGGGUAUGGUGGUCCGAGACAAAGUAGGUGACGUGCUAAUGGCUGCAGGCAUGAGGAUUGAUGCUGCUCUACCAGCUCUUCAAGCUGAAGCUGAAGCAGUACGGUUUUGGCAUGAGUAUGCUUAUGAAGCAGGCUACAGCUCCCUUGAGGUUGAAACUGAUUCCCUUGCGUUACUAAAGCUACUGCAGAGGACGGUUAUCUAAUUCUGAAAUUCUAAUUGUAAUAUAUAGAGGAUGGUUUUAGAAUUAGAAUUAGAGCUGAUUUGGCCAUUAUUUGUAAUAUAUACAGAAUUAGAAUUUGUAAUAUAUAUAUAUUUUUUUUAUAAAAAAAAGAUGGAAUAGAGGACGGUUAUCUAAGAAAAUCGUCCUCUAUCUUUACG
Molecule: RNA transcript, 1893 nt
Organism: Spinacia oleracea (spinach)
Lineage: Eukaryota; Viridiplantae; Streptophyta; Magnoliopsida; Caryophyllales; Amaranthaceae
Exons: 4
Source: RefSeq, a predicted model, not a curated record